RNAcentral lists this ribosomal RNA (540 nucleotides) under uncultured bacterium. RNAcentral describes it as "bacterial SSU rRNA". It matches the Rfam family "Bacterial small subunit ribosomal RNA", at positions 355 to 896 of the family's 1533-position model. The record is from RNAcentral.
UGAGGAAUAUUGGUCAAUGGGCGCGAGCCUGAACCAGCCAAGUAGCGUGCAGGAUGACGGCCCUAUGGGUUGUAAACUGCUUUUGUAUGGGGAUAAAGUCAAUCACGUGUGAUUGUUUGCAGGUACCAUACGAAUAAGGACCGGCUAAUUCCGUGCCAGCAGCCGCGGUAAUACGGAAGGUCCGGGCGUUAUCCGGAUUUAUUGGGUUUAAAGGGAGCGUAGGCCGGAGAUUAAGUGUGUUGUGAAAUGUAGACGCUCAACGUCUGACUUGCAGCGCAUACUGGUUUCCUUGAGUACGCACAACGUUGGCGGAAUUCGUCGUGUAGCGGUGAAAUGCUUAGAUAUGACGAAGAACUCCGAUUGCGAAGGCAGCUGACGGGAGCGCAACUGACGCUUAAGCUCGAAGGUGCGGGUAUCGAACAGGAUUAGAUACCCUGGUAGUCCGCACAGUAAACGAUGGAUGCCCGCUGUUGGUACCUGGUAUCAGCGGCUAAGCGAAAGCAUUAAGCAUCCCACCUGGGGAGUACGCCGGCAACGGUG